GACGAACGCUGGCGGCGUGCUUAACACAUGCAAGUCGAACGGGCCUUGUCCCCUUUUUUUUUGGGGGUGGGGUUAGUGGCGAACGGGUGAGUAACACGUGAGUAACCUGCCCCUCACUUCUGGAUAACCGCUUGAAAGGGUGGCUAAUACGGGGUGUUCUGGCCUGCUCGCAUGGGUGGGUUUGGAAAGAUUCGACCGGUUUUGGUUGUUUUGGUGGGGGAUGGGCUCGCGGCCUAUCAGCUUGUUGGUGGGGUGAUGGCCUGCCAAGGCUUUGACGGGUAGCCGGCCUGAGAGGGUGGGCGGUCACACUGGGACUGAGACACGGCCCAGACUCCUACGGGAGGCAGCAGUGGGGAAUAUUGCACAAUGGGCGCAAGCCUGAUGCAGCGACGCCGCGUGAGGGAUGGAGGCCUUCGGGUUGCGAACCUCUUUCGCCAGUGAAGAAGGUCCUGCUCUUUGUGGUGGGGUUGACGGUAGCUGGGUUAAUGAAGCGCCGGCUAACUACGUG
This 508-nucleotide ribosomal RNA is filed under the name uncultured bacterium. Its description in RNAcentral is "partial 16S ribosomal RNA". It matches the Rfam family "Bacterial small subunit ribosomal RNA", at positions 28 to 507 of the family's 1533-position model. The record is from RNAcentral.